Molecule: transfer RNA, 90 nt
Filed under: Flavobacteriales bacterium
Lineage: Bacteria; Pseudomonadati; Bacteroidota; Flavobacteriia; Flavobacteriales
Description: tRNA-Ser
Rfam family: tRNA
About the family: Transfer RNA (tRNA) molecules are approximately 80 nucleotides in length. Their secondary structure includes four short double-helical elements and three loops (D, anti-codon, and T loops).
Source: RNAcentral
GGAGAGAUGCCUGAGUGGCCGAAAGGACCAGUUUGCUAAACUGGCGUACGGGAAACUGUACCGCGGGUUCGAAUCCCGCUCUCUCCGCCA